This 253-nucleotide ribosomal RNA is filed under the name uncultured bacterium. RNAcentral describes it as "partial 16S ribosomal RNA". It matches the Rfam family "Bacterial small subunit ribosomal RNA", at positions 524 to 776 of the family's 1533-position model. The record is from RNAcentral.
CACGGGGGGAGCAAGCGUUGUUCGGAUUCAUUGGGCGUAAAGAGCUCGUAGGUGGCUUUGUAAGUCGGAGGUGAAAUCCCACGGCUCAACCGUGGACACGCCUUCGAUACUGUGAAGCUUGAGGCUGGGAGAGGGAAUCGGAAUUCCUGGUGUAGCGGUGAAAUGCGUAGAUAUCUGGAGGAACACCGGUGGCGAAGGCGGCAUCCUGGACCAACACUGACACUGAGGAGCGAAAGCCAGGGGAGCAAACGGG